Equus asinus (donkey) is the source of this 1905-nucleotide long non-coding RNA. The record is from Ensembl. NCBI's taxonomy places the organism in Eukaryota, Metazoa, Chordata, Mammalia, Perissodactyla, Equidae.
CUGAAGACACUGGAGAGCCCUUGAGGACCACUGGCCUGACAGUGACGACUAGAGGCAAACAGAAGCAAGUCCAAAAGGGAGAUAGAAAGAGAAGGAGGAGAGCAGGGUCUGGCUCUUUUACCAAUUUGGACUUGAAAAAGAAAGAGAAGAAAAGAAAACACACCGCGUAUUCUGAGACAUCUAACCAGCCUUUCUGUGUUCCAUGAGGGAAAGGGAAGUCGAGCUGUUUUGCAAUAAUUCCUCCAAGUCUUCAGACUCUGGCAGCACAAGAAAAAUACUAAGGAGCAGAGACCACACCUUUCCCACAUUGAGUUCAGUGGAACAUGAACUCAGCUGCCUGCGUCGUUCUUCAAAGACACAGCUGCAGGAUAGCUUCAGCUGCACUGGUUUGGAAACCCUCAAAAGUGGGCCAAGACUCUUAGGCUGGUUUCAGCACAGUUGUUAUUCCUAGCCCCGCCCACAGGAAAAGGGCAGGUCCUGAAGACUGUUGUUGUAGAUAUUGGAUAGGAGAACAAACCAAGAUGGUGGCACUGGCCAUUAUAGGUGGAAUGCAUGGGGUGACUUGGCCUUCCCUGCCUCCUGGCCCCUCCUUUGUACACCUUCUCUCCCAAGCUCAAAGAUGUGUAUUGUGCUAGGAGGAAAAUUACAAGAGAGUUUGGCUUACUUGUUACUGGGGCAACACCUACAAGACUAACUGCAGCGAAGGUGGGAAAAGGCCUAGAAAAAUCUGAUGAUGUAAACAGUUUGAGAGCUUCCAGUGAAACCUGUCUCGCAGGGCCAGUGCCACACGUUAUACUCAGUUCUUCACUCUCAACAGAGAAAAGGGCCUUCUGGUUUGCUGUUUCCUCUCUCUAGUCUUACUCUUUUUGUAUCCUGGAGGCCUCCAAUUGUGGGGGAAGGCAGAAUUCUCCCCACCCCCACCUUUUCCCCUCCUGGUUCUUAUGACUGGUCGAAUAAUUAAACUGGCAUAGGGCAGGUUAGCAGGAGAAAAUUAAACCACAUUUAAUACAUAUGCACUGGGAAUUCACAUAAGCAUGAAGAAUUCCAAAGACAGUCAGGCAAAAUGAGGUAGAUAUGUCUUUCUGGACUAAGGAGAAGGAGAUAGAGUUCUGAAACUUCAAAGGGAGAGAAGGCAAUUUACAGAAAGAUGGAAAGAGUUAAUAUUUGGUAAACAAAUAUUUGCUGGGCCAUCUACAGAUGAUGGGACCCAAGGAGAGAACUUUGAUAAAAUGGGCCUUGCUAGGUGCCUUUCCAUCUCUCACACCUGGUUCAUAUUAUACUGGAGUUAUCUAAGGUGAUAGCUCCUUCCUGGGACAGGCCUUUCUAUCAAAUUCUUUUAGGUAAUUAGGGGGAAGGUCAAAGGUUCUUCCCGAGUCUUCUGAUCCUUGAUUAUUUUAAGCUCGAAAUAAUCCGCAUACCAGAGUGGCACAUUCUGGGUUGGCCUGCCCUCAACCCCAUCACAAGCCUUAUCCUGGAGAGAACACAUUCACCCAUCUGAGCAAUAAGUGCUAUAGAAACACUUGGGAUGCGGAUGUUAUGUUCUUCGUUUUGACUGGCUUCUUUUUAACUUGCCCUCAGCAUGAUUUCACUGCACUCUUUAUUUGCAGCUGCUUUAAGGAUGUCAAGCUGGGCCUCCGUCCCAUAAUUCCUCCAGGUGAUUUAAAGGUGACAGUCUCCCAGGAAGAAGCUUUCCUGUCUGGGACUUCCCACCAGACCUCAUUUCCGAGCAUUGCUGCAGUCCUGAAGUGAGACCCUCCAGUCUGGACUUGCCUGAGACAGAUGGAGGCUGGGCCAGCCCUACCUGCCCUGCUCCUGCUCAACCUGUAUAUCUCCUCCUGCUGUAAUUGCAUAUCCUGGAGAACAGCCAGGAUCUUCCUGCAGAGCCAAAGCCUCAGAGGGAAUUUC